GCAAACUUGGUCAUUUAGAGGAAGUAAAAGUCGUAACAAGGUUUCCGUAGGUGAACCUGCGGAAGGAUCAUUAGUGAACAAGCCGGUGUGGUUGUUGCUGGCCUCCCCUGUGGGGCAUGUGCACGCCCACCAUUUGUUUCAUUCCUUCUCUCCCACCUGUGCACCUCUGUAGAUCAGCCAGCCAAAGGUCCAUCCGAGUUCAUCGCUCAGUUUGGAACCGUGGUUGGAGCAACUGGUCUAUGUUUCUCAUCAACUCCAAUGAAUGUGUAGAGUGUAGAACAAGGUCCAUCAUGGCCUUAUAAAUACAUAUACAACUUUCAACAACGGAUCUCUUGGCUCUCGCAUCGAUGAAGAACGCAGC
This 361-nucleotide unclassified non-coding RNA is filed under the name uncultured fungus. Its description in RNAcentral is "partial contains small subunit ribosomal RNA, internal transcribed spacer 1, and 5.8S ribosomal RNA". The stretch from base 1 to 73 matches the Rfam family "Eukaryotic small subunit ribosomal RNA", at positions 1759 to 1831 of the family's 1831-position model. Lineage: Eukaryota; Fungi. The record is from RNAcentral.